UGCCAGACUCCUACGGGAGGCAGCAGUGGGGAAUAUUGCACAAUGGGGGGAACCCUGAUGCAGCGACGCCGCGUGGGUGAAGAAGCGCCUCGGCGCGUAAAGCCCUGUCAGCAGGGAAGAAAAUGACGGUACCUGAAGAAGAAGCCCCGGCUAACUACGUGCCAGCAGCCGCGGUAAUACGUAGGGGGCAAGCGUUGUCCGGAAUUACUGGGUGUAAAGGGAGCGCAGGCGGAUUGACAAGUUGGGAGUGAAAACUACGGGCUCAACCCGUAACCUGCUUUCAAAACUGUCAGUCUUGAGUGGUGUAGAGGUAGGCGGAAUUCCCGGUGUAGCGGUGGAAUGCGUAGAUAUCGGGAGGAACACCAGUGGCGAAGGCGGCCUACUGGGCACUAACUGACGCUGAGGCUCGAAAGCAUGGGUAGCAAACAGGAUUAGAUACCCUAGUAA
This 447-nucleotide ribosomal RNA is filed under the name uncultured bacterium. RNAcentral describes it as "bacterial SSU rRNA". It matches the Rfam family "Bacterial small subunit ribosomal RNA", at positions 329 to 793 of the family's 1533-position model. The record is from RNAcentral.